UGAGAGGAAGGCCCCCCACAAUGGGACUGAGACACGGCCCAUACUCCUACGGGAGGCAGCAGUGAGGAAUAUUGGUCAAUGGGCGGAAGCCUGAACCAGCCAUGCCGCGUGCGGGAAGGAGGCCCUAUGGGCUGUGAACCGCUUUUGCCUGGGGGCAAUAAGGGCGUCGCGCACGUCCGAUGAGAGUACCAGGCGAAUAAGCAUCGGCUAACUCCGUGCCAGCAGCCGCGGUAAUACGGGGGAUGCGAGCGUUAUCCGGAUUCAUUGGGUUUAAAGGGUGCGUAGGCUGUGCGUCAAGUCGGGGGUGAAAUUCCGGUGCUCAACACCGGGGCUGCCCUUGAUACUGUCGCGCUGGAGUGCGGAUGCCGCCGGAGGAAUGAGUGGUGUAGCGGUGAAAUGCUUAGAUAUCACUCAGAACACCGAUUGCGAAGGCAUCUGGCGAAUCCGUAACUGACGCUGAGGCACGAAAGCGUGGGGAUAGAACAGGAUUAGAUACCCUGGUAUUCCACGCCGUAAACGAUGAUGGCUAACCGCCGGCGACACACUGUCGGUGGCCAAG
This 559-nucleotide ribosomal RNA is filed under the name uncultured bacterium. RNAcentral's name for it is "bacterial SSU rRNA". It matches the Rfam family "Bacterial small subunit ribosomal RNA", at positions 293 to 851 of the family's 1533-position model. The record is from RNAcentral.